GACGAACGCUGGCGGCGUGCUUAACACAUGCAAGUCGAACGGUGAAGCGCUUGCCUUUUUGGUGGGUGUGGAUGAGUGGCGAACGGGUGAGUAACACGUGAGUAACCUGCCCUCUUCUUCUGGAUAACCUCAUGAAAGUGGGGCUAAUACGGGGUAUUCCGGGUCUGUCGCAUGGCGGGUUUGGGAAAGAUUGCGCCUUUGGGUGUUUUCGGUGGGGGAUGGGCUCGCGGCCUAUCAGCUUGUUGGUGGGGUGAUGGCCUACCAAGGCGGUGACGGGUAGCCGGCCUGAGAGGGUGGACGGCCACACUGGGACUGAGACACGGCCCAGACUCCUGCGGGAGGCAGCAGCGGGGAAUAUUGCACAAUGGGCGCAAGCCUGAUGCAGCGACGCCGCGUGAGGGAUGGAGGCCUUCGGGUUGUGAACCUCUUUCGCCAGUGAAGCAGGCCUGCUCCUGUGUGGGUGGGUUGACGGUAGCUGGAGAAGAAGCGCCGGCUAACUACGUG
This 504-nucleotide ribosomal RNA is filed under the name uncultured bacterium. Its description in RNAcentral is "partial 16S ribosomal RNA". It matches the Rfam family "Bacterial small subunit ribosomal RNA", at positions 28 to 507 of the family's 1533-position model. The record is from RNAcentral.